RNAcentral lists this ribosomal RNA (438 nucleotides) under uncultured bacterium. Its description in RNAcentral is "bacterial SSU rRNA". It matches the Rfam family "Bacterial small subunit ribosomal RNA", at positions 954 to 1392 of the family's 1533-position model. The record is from RNAcentral.
GCAGAACGCGAAGAACCUUACCUGGCCUUGACAUCCAUGGAAUCCCGAAGAGAUUUGGGAGUGCCGCAAGGAACCAUGAGACAGGUGCUGCAUGGCUGUCGUCAGCUCGUGUCGUGAGAUGUUGGGUUAAGUCCCGCAACGAGCGCAACCCUUGUCCUUAGUUGCCAUCAUUAAGUUGGGAACUCUAAGGAGACCGCCGGUGACAAACCGGAGGAAGGUGGGGAUGACGUCAAGUCAUCAUGGCCUUUAUGGCCAGGGCUACACACGUGCUACAAUGGCAGGUACAGAGGGAAGCCAACCGGCGACGGGGAGCUAAUCCCAGAAAGCCUGUCUUAGUCCGGAUUGCAGUCUGCAACUCGACUGCAUGAAGUUGGAAUCGCUAGUAAUCGCAGAUCAGCAUUGCUGCGGUGAAUACGUUCCCGGGUCUUGUACACACCG